GAUGAAGAACGUAGUGAAAUGCGAUACGUAAUGUGAAUUGCAGAAUUCAGUGAAUCAUCGAAUCUUUGAACGCACAUUGCGCCUGCCAGCACUCUGGCAGGCAUGCCUGUUCGAGCGUCAUUUCAACCAUCAAGCCCUAGGCUUGCGUUGGAGCCCUGCGGCUGCCGCAGGCCCCUAAAAGCAGUGGCGGGCUCGCUAUCACACCGAGUGCAGUAGAUUACUCUUCGCUCAGGGCGUGUGGCGGGUUCCAGCCGUGAAACCCCUACUUCUCAAGGUUGACCUCGGAUCAGGUAGGAAUACCCGCUGAACUUAAGCAUAUCAAUAAGCGGAGGA
Molecule: unclassified non-coding RNA, 333 nt
Filed under: soil metagenome
Description: partial contains 5.8S ribosomal RNA, internal transcribed spacer 2, and large subunit ribosomal RNA
Rfam family: 5.8S ribosomal RNA (bases 1-120)
Source: RNAcentral